Molecule: long non-coding RNA, 6446 nt
Organism: Mauremys mutica (yellowpond turtle)
Lineage: Eukaryota; Metazoa; Chordata; Testudines; Geoemydidae
Exons: 2
Source: RefSeq, a predicted model, not a curated record
AACUAAUCUAUGAAAAAAUUCUGAAAAUUUAGAAAAAAUGAAAAUUCAAUAACAAUUUUUAAAAACAAAGGAACAUAAAUACUUUUGAAAUGUUUACAGUUAAAAAAGAAAAGUUUCAGCCAUUUUUAUUAAUUGGAGUGCCUGCAACUUGUGAAAAUGUUCACAAAUCCAGAACUUUUCCACAAAUUUUCAUAUUCAUAUGUAUCAGAGGUAGCCGUGUUAGUCUGUAUCCACAAAAACAAGGAGUCCAGUGGCACCUUAAAGACUAACAGAUUUAUUUGGGCAUAAGCUUUCAUGGGAUGCAUCCGAAGAAGUGAGGUCUUUUACCCAGGAAGCUUAUGCCCAUAUUCAUAUGUGUUUGUUCAAAAAUAUGCAUUGGAAAGUAUGAUGAUAUCCCUAUUUACAAAAGUUACACUCACCCAAUCAGGAAGCAGAAACAAUACCAAGUGACUUAGGUGACCAAUGGUACAAAAGACACACAUAAAAGUAGUUUAUAGUCAAAUUAUGGCACUGGCAAACCAGUGCCGCCUCCAGCUUAGGGAAGGGAAAAAAAAAAAAAGCUGUGAUUGGCGGCAGCUGAACUGCGUCGCUUCAUUCUUCGGUGCCAAUUCAGCGGCGGGUCUUUCGCUCUGAGAGGGACUGAGGAACCCGCUGCUGAAGACCCAGAUGUGCCGCCCCCCUUUACAUUGGCCGCCCCAAGCACCUACUUCAUUUGCUGGUGCCUGGAGCCCUGUGGCAAACAAUCCAUACAAUAUUAAUUGUUCACAUAGGUUAUUCUGCUGAUAUUUACAAAUCAUUGGCCCUGGUGUUCAGCUAGUCUUUGUUGGGGUAAAUAAUGGAGCUGUAUCAGUUUAUGCCAGCUAAAUAACUGGCUCCAUAAAUCUAUUGUAAGAACCAGGAUUGGUUUGUAAACAACCCACUCACAGAAGAAAGCUAAAAUCAAAACAAAUAUUAAAAUUCACAGUGAAAAAAUUCUACCAGCUCCAUUGAAAGCCUCUUGACCUGCCUCUGUUUUCAGUCCUGAUCAGUAUUCCACCUGCCUUCUCCUCUCUCUUUCCAUCCAGAACUUUGCUAAGUAUUUCAGACAAGGGAAAGAAAUCAAUGCCAUCUGGUAGGAGUCGUCUGCCCCUUGACUCCCUGUCCCCCACCCAUGCUGCCCCAACUCUCUUCUGAACCCCAGUUCCGUUUGCUCGUUCUUUGAGCUGUCCCCAUCUCCUUUCAGCUCUUGAUUUCCCUUUCUCUAGUUCUCUCCUGGACUGGUCUAUACUAAAAAGUUAGAUCGACCCAGCUACAUUGCUCAAGAGUAUGAAAAAUCCACACCCCGGAGCGACGUAGUUAAGCCGACCUAACCCCCAGUGUAGACAGCACCAGGUUAAUGGAAGAAUUCUUCCACUGACGUAGCUACCGUCUCUCAGGGAGGUGGAUUGCCUACACCAAUGGGUGAACCCCUCCUGUCAGCACAGGUAGUAUCUACACUGAAGUGCUGUAGCUGCACUGCUGUAGCAUUUCAAGUGUAGAGAAUCCCUCUGUAUUCCUUCCAUCAGCCUUCCAGCGUUCACUCCAGCACGGCAGGAUCCCAGCUCCCUGACUUCCCUCCCACUCCGUCCUAACCCUGUUUUCUCUGCCUCUGUUGGCAAUUCCACUGUCCUCCUGACUGCCCAGAGUCACCCCCUCGGAAUUAUUGUGGACUCCAAUCUCUCCAUUCCCUUCUACCUCAUCCUGGCUGUCCGCAGCUCCCAACAGUUCUUCCUCUUACAGCAGCCCCCUUUCUUUCCCACUGCUCCCUGGCCCAUGCUUUGGCCAUGUCUCAACGUGACCACUGCACCCUGCUGCCCUCCAGCCUCCUUGCUUCCCACUUCACAUCCCUUCAGUCCAUGCUGGCCAUCUUCCUUGCUCUCUGCUCCAACUAUACCACCCGCCUCCCAGAUUCCCGACCCUGCUUCUUCCUGCAGCAGUAUUGUACCCCUCACAUCUGAUCCCGCAGGCUGUCCCAUUUCAGCAUUGAUUUCUUUGGGACUCAAGCAUGUACUCGAGUGCUUUGCUGAGCUGGGUCCCUCAUCCUCCCCUCCAAGGCUGCAUGAGGCUGCUCCAGCCUGCCUCCCGGAUCUUAUCUCCUCCUUUGCCCCACCCCCUCACUCCAUCUUCCUGCCUACAUCCCCCUGCCUAAUCGUGCCCAGUGUGGCCUUCAGCAGUUGGGCCAGAGCCUGAGUUAGUGCAAAUCUGCAUCACUGGGGCAAACACCAGGUUAUGCUAGCUGAGAGGCCAUAUCCCAUUUUCUCCAUUGUGUCCCUUAUGGGAAGGUGUAAUAAGGAGGGAACGGGGGGAUGUAUUCGGGCAUUGGAUAAAAGUUAAACAAGAAAGUAGGAAAGGGUUAAAGCCCCAAUCCUGAAACACAUAAGCACAUGCUUCAUUGAUAUAGUCCCAUUGAAAUCAGCAGGGCGACUCACGGUGCAUAAAGCUAAGCAUGAGCAGCGGUGUUUGCAGGCUGAGGGCCUAAAUGAAUAAACCCAAUAAUCGUAAUAAUUCAAGAAAAGUGCAAAGAGUUAAAAGACGUUUCUGGAAAACCAGUGGGAAAGGAGAGGGUUAAACACAACUGUGAAAAAUGCUAAAGAGUUAAAAGAAAAUCAAAAAAGAAGAAAACAAAAAAGAGUUAAAGGAAAAAAUCCUAAAAAAUAGAAAAUAAGGAAGGUUAAAGUUUUUAAAAAGAAAAUAGGGAAGAGUUGGAAAACAUAGAACUGUAAAUGGUUAAAAUUAAAAGAAAUCAGGAAAGGAUUAAAUAUUAAAGAAAGGAAUUGCAAGGGGUUAAAAAUUUAAAAGUAAAUGAAAGGUUUAAAAUAGAAAUAAAAACCAGAAUUGGACAGUAUUAAAAAUAACAUUUGAAAUGUUUAAGAGUAUAAGAAAAUAGAUUUUUAAAAAUGGAAGAAAAAACUGGAAACUGUAAAAGGUUAAAAAGUUAUAUGAAAAUAGGAAAUCCUUUGUGGGGUUUAGUGUGUGGGUGCUGGUGGCCCGUGAGGUACAGGAGGUCAGACUAGAUCAUCCGGUCGUCCCUUCUAGCCUUAAACUCUGAUUAUGUACAACAAGAAGAGGAAAGUUAAAGAAAACAUGUAUUAAAAGAAAUAGUAACAAGGCAACGGUUAAAGAUAAAAACAGAGAAAGGGAUAAAAAUAAUUUUUAAAACUAAUAGAGAAUAUUUUAGGCAAUGGUUCGAAUCAUAUAAAAACAACCGAAACAAAACAAUAGACAAUGUGGAAAGGAGGAAACAAAUGAGAGGAAUCAGGCGUGCAGCUGAUGAUCCGAAAGGCAUCCAGGCAUCGGUGUCCAGUGAAACUUAUGGCAACUGCAGAUGCUGAUAUAGCCCGAACCCUGCAAACGCUCAUGCAUGUGGGGUGAAAUUCAUCCCUGAUAUGGAGAACCCCCGUGUGGAGUCACUGAGCUCAGCAACCCUGCAGGCAUGCAGGUUGUAACAUGAGGCCCCUAAAUGAGAUGUCAGCAGCUGGAACCCUGGAUCUCUGGAUCUCAAAGCAUGAGCUGAAAGCUGUGCUGCUUGAGCUAAAAUAAUUGGCUUUGAUAGCUCAACAAAAGGCUGCAGCAGCUCAUACAUCUCUAUGUGAUCCACCACUAAAGAGGGACAGAAAACCACAAGCAUGUAUGUGUCCCUGAUCUCUUUGUGGGAAGGUGCCCUGGAACUAGUGCAAAGGGGCUGCCUGCUGCUCUAGCGCAGAGGUUGGAGUAGCAGCUCCAAGGGACCUGAGCAACAGCCAGGGGUGGAGGUGAAUGGAGUCUGGAUAUCCGGGCAGAGACUGUAAACUUUACUCACCUGGGUCAACCGGUUAAGCUGGCUGGGACUGUGUGUGAACAGAGUCUCAUGUGUGUGUGUGUUUGCAGGAUUAGGGUGUGACUGCCAACUGCCUUUCUCCAUCUGGUGGCGCUAAUUACACCUGUGCAAAUGUGAGUGUUAAAUAUUGGGAAUGACCCCACUGGAGUCCUGGGGGUGGAUUCCCCUCUCGCUCACCCUGGUAUAAAUCAGGAGUAACUCCACUGGAGUUACACUGAUGUAAAACUGAUGCAACAGAGCUGAGGAUCAAGCCCAGUGACUCCCAUGGGACUACUCAUGUAAUUGGUGCUGGCAGAAUAAGCCCCUGGGGGACUCGAUACACAGGCAGCUCCUCUCAUGCAGAUCUUUACUGGCAUUCAUAGUCAGUGUGGGAGUAAUAAAAUUUUAGGGACAGAUCCUCUGCUGCUGGAACCUGGCAGAGCUGCAUUGACUUAACUGGAGCUAUGCCAAUUAAACCAGCUGAGGAACUGGCUGAGGUAACUGUUUGCAGGCUCAUAGAAGUUCUGGGGGAAGAGACCCAGAUACCUAGCUCAAUUUCAGGGCACGUUGGGCCAGAUCUGGAGUGAUCCUGAGCACCUGCAAUGAUACCACCACGAUGGGCGCUAGAAAAAACCCUGCAGAUACACUGGUGCUUGGCAGCUCCCCCUGGAUUUGGCCCAGCAUUCCGUCAUGAUGCUGAGAAUGGAUGCUACGCGGGGAACACCUCCCCAUGCUGGUGGAGCAGGGUCCUGCUCUCUCUUCAGGUCCCUGCAAAGUGCAGCUGUGCUAGUCCACUGCCCACAAAAGCUUGACUUAUUUACUUGUUAAUAACAAACACUGCCCUGCUCUGUGACGCUCCAGUGACUAGUCAUCCGGGGAGGUACUGGGCCCAAGGCCUGCCAGAGGUCCAAGCACCAGUUUGUUCCUGGACCUCUGGCAAGCCCUGGGCUUGGGGCCAAAUUUCCCCCUUUCUCUGCUUAUGUGUCUGAGCUGCUGUGUUCUCUUUGUCUCUUAGGUUGUAAGCUCCUUAAAGCAGGGACCGUGUCUUUUUCUGUGUUCUGUGGGGCAAGAGCACAUGCUAGCUGCUCAAUGUAGAACAAACAGAGACGGUGGUGGUGGUGGAGGGGAAGCUGAUGGCCUAUCAGAGAUUCCAUGCAAGAGAGAGAACCAUUAUAAAUGUCCGGCUGUGGCCGGAGCUCAGGUCUUGGGACACAUCAGAGGACACGCUUUGGAGAGAGACCCUUAUAAGUGACCUGACUGAAGGGGAACGCUUGGGUGAGAGCUCACUCCUUGUUAUGCACCAGAGACUCUGCACUGGAGAGAGACCCUAUAGAUGCCCUGGUGAGGGCUGGCUGCAGUGCAUAUCAGAGGCAUGAUAUGAUAUAUCAGAGGCAGCUGUCUGUCCCUGGAUUCAGGGGGCAUCAGCAGGUGAUUGGUGAUCCUCUGACUCCACCCAGCCUAGCAGACCCCAGGUGGGUGAGGGAGAGAGAACUAUCCUUCUGUAGCUUCUAGCCCCUGGCUGAAGAUUCCCUCCCCAUGCCCUGUGGUCCACACUACUCCCAUUGCUGGGCCCAGCAGAAGAGGAACGGAGAACCCCAGUCCUCUGGAUACGUCUCCCUCAUCUUUGAGCCUGGGAACAGGGAUGUCGGGCACAUCACACCUUCCCAAGAGGACCUGAGACCCAGUGGCCUUCUGUCUCUUAGCACAUUCAUUGCCUGGAUCUGUUUCUGGGAUGGCGGUGAGGAGGUGGAUGUGUCCUCAUAACCCCUUUUCUUCCAAAUUCUUCCAGGACACCUGCGUGUGAUUAACCUGUGGAACCUGCAGCUGCAGGAAAUUACUGGGGCACACAGCUCCACAAAGGCCUCUUCUAGCUCCAGAGUGCAGGCUGGGACUCUGCAUUGUAAUAACUGCAUGACAGAGAGCUCAGUGCCUCCUCCCAGGUGGACCUGCCUUGGACCAGCACCAAGUAAAAGGACAAUCUCCCUGAAGGACAGACACAAAUGUAUCUGGUCCUGAUCCUACUCCAGGCGGUUGUCCCACCUCUUCCAAGUGAAGGUCUUUGUAUUAUUCAAGAAAGAAGCUGGGGAGAUGACCCCCCUGGUCAGGCCUGAAUCCUUCCUGACCCACAUCACCGAGGCCAGAGGGAGAAGACGACCUUGACAUUCAGCUGGGCAUCUUCCACCCUAUCUGCCACAGAGUGCUGGAUGGGGAUGACAGAGACUGACUCUCUGCCGCACACAUCCCCAGAGGGGAUAAAAGCCUCACCUAGAAUCAGAGAUGCUGGAACCUGCCCCCUGCCUGUGAGAGUGGCUGCCAGCCGACAAGAGGUUAAUGCUAAAAUAUUAGAUGGUAAUUACUUAACUACAAUUUAACUGAGAUUUAUAUAUUUUCUAGUAUCUGCUUGUUUGCUUUUGUAACUGGCGCCAACUGUCUCUUCGAUUUGCCUGUACUUUCUGAUCGGCUUGGAAAUGUUUUACUGCUUGUGAACAGCAACGUGCCCAUUUGUUUUUCUGAAAUGCAAUGUACUGGAUUGAAAUUUUUGUGCAUUGAGUUGUCAUGAUGGCUCUGUUUUUAUUUUACUUUACUUCAUUCUCUUUCUUUCAAUGAGUAGUAAUAAAUUAGAAUUUAGUUA